RNAcentral lists this ribosomal RNA (253 nucleotides) under uncultured bacterium. Its description in RNAcentral is "partial 16S ribosomal RNA". It matches the Rfam family "Bacterial small subunit ribosomal RNA", at positions 524 to 776 of the family's 1533-position model. The record is from RNAcentral.
UACGUAGGUGGCGAGCGUUGUCCGGAUUUACUGGGCGUAAAGGGAGCGUAGGCGGACUUUUAAGUGAGAUGUGAAAUACUCGGGCUCAACUUGAGUGCUGCAUUUCAAACUGGAAGUCUAGAGUGCAGGAGAGGAGAAUGGAAUUCCUAGUGUAGCGGUGAAACGCGUAGAGAUUAGGAAGAACACCAGUGGCGAAGGCGAUUCUCUGGACUGUGACUGACGCUGAGGCUCGAAAGCGUGGGGAGCAAACAGG